Pelobates cultripes (western spadefoot toad) is the source of this 421-nucleotide non-coding RNA. The record is from the annotation of a GenBank genome assembly. NCBI's taxonomy places the organism in Eukaryota, Metazoa, Chordata, Amphibia, Anura, Pelobatidae.
GCUCCUACCUUGUACUCAUACACUGGAUACCAUGGGGAGGUUUUCAUAAUGAGUUGUAUUAUCAGAACUGAAUAUUUACCCUUUAUGGGUUAUCUGUCUGUAAUAAUAUUUGGUUUCAGGAGUCCUUGUUUGAACCACCACUACCAUUCUUACACCGGAGCAAUCACCUUGUAUCUUUAUGAUCUAGAUAUUUUUCGUCUUAGUGUGAUAUGUGUGCUAUAUUCUAUAGAAGAACACAGUGAUGGAUGUAUUAGGGGGUAUCUAGGGAUGUUCCACUAUGGACUUUUUUGUCCAUAUACAAAUCCCUGAUUUCCCCUCUACUUGUAUAUUGGUAACUUCGAUUUAUUCUAUUUUAUUUUAUUUCAUAUUUAUUUUUAUUUUCUUCAAUGUCCUUGAAUGCGUCUUUCAGCUUGUUGUAUAG